CCCUACAAAGUCAGUGUUGAUGAAUUUGGGAAAUAAACUAAGCAUCAACAAAUUUUUGCAGCGGAGUAGAUGAAGAAGAAAUAGUUGUUGAAUUAUAUUUUUAACUCUAAACAGAUAGUGUUGAUUAACUUGUGAAUACUUUAAAGAGUUGUUGGAAGUAGCGAAAGAAGAAGGAAAGUGUUAGAUUAUAUUAAUAGCUCUGCACGUUUUUGCCGAGAGAAAGAAGGAGGGCAGUGUUAGAUUAUAUUGUAAACACGACAAACAGCGAGUUUCUCAACAAUUGAACCAACAAUUGUUACUCAUCACGAUUUGCUAACUGAGAGCUUCUUGAGUGGAAUUUCGAAAAAACAAACGGAAUAAACAGAAGAAGAAAGCUCAACAAAAGGAAAGAGAACCAAAAUGUAUGCCUAGAAAUCAAAAUUAAAUCAAGCACAAUAUUUAUAAUAAAUGCAGCAAUGCUAAAAGCAAGCAAAUAUUUGCUUAAAUUCAGUUAAUUCAAAUAACAACAGGAAAUAAGAUUUUUAAUUUAAAAUAGCUCGCAUCCAGUUUAAUGCUAUUCAUACUUAAAUCAAUAAACUUUUUCAUUAAUUCAACAUGAGUGCAAA
Molecule: non-coding RNA, 605 nt
Organism: Drosophila virilis
Lineage: Eukaryota; Metazoa; Arthropoda; Insecta; Diptera; Drosophilidae
Source: RefSeq, a predicted model, not a curated record